UACGGGGGGGGCAAGCGUUGUUCGGAAUUACUGGGCGUAAAGGGCGCGUAGGUGGCCAACUAAGUCAGACGUGAAAUCCCUCGGCUUAACCGGGGAACUGCGUCUGAUACUGGAUGGCUUGAGUUCGGGAGAGGGAUGCGGAAUUCCAGGUGUAGCGGUGAAAUGCGUAGAUAUCUGGAGGAACACCGGUGGCGAAGGCGGCAUCCUGGACCGAUACUGACGCUGAGGAGCGAAAGCCAGGGGAGCAAACGGG
This 253-nucleotide ribosomal RNA is filed under the name uncultured bacterium. RNAcentral's name for it is "partial 16S ribosomal RNA". It matches the Rfam family "Bacterial small subunit ribosomal RNA", at positions 524 to 776 of the family's 1533-position model. The record is from RNAcentral.